RNAcentral lists this ribosomal RNA (253 nucleotides) under uncultured bacterium. RNAcentral describes it as "partial 16S ribosomal RNA". It matches the Rfam family "Bacterial small subunit ribosomal RNA", at positions 524 to 776 of the family's 1533-position model. The record is from RNAcentral.
UACGUAGGGGGCUAGCGUUGUCCGGAAUCAUUGGGCGUAAAGAGCGUGUAGGCGGCCCGGUAAGUCCGCUGUGAAAGUCGGGGGCUCAACCCUCGAAUGCCGGUGGAUACUGUCGGGCUAGAGUGCGGAAGAGGCGAGUGGAAUUCCUGGUGUAGCGGUGAAAUGCGCAGAUAUCAGGAGGAACACCAAUUGCGAAGGCAGCUCGCUGGGACGUGACUGACGCUGAGACGCGAAAGCGUGGGGAGCGAACAGG